This 372-nucleotide ribosomal RNA is filed under the name uncultured bacterium. RNAcentral's name for it is "bacterial SSU rRNA". It matches the Rfam family "Bacterial small subunit ribosomal RNA", at positions 28 to 402 of the family's 1533-position model. The record is from RNAcentral.
GACGAACGCUGGCGGCGUGCUUAACACAUGCAAGUCGAGCGGUAAGGCCUUUCGGGGUACACGAGCGGCGAACGGGUGAGUAACACGUGGGUGACCUGCCCUUCACUCUGGGAUAAGCCUGGGAAACUGGGUCUAAUACCGGAUAUUCACGCAUCCUCGCAUGGGGGUGGGGUGGAAAGUUUUUCGGUGGGGGAGUGGCCCGCGGCCUAUCAGCUUGUUGGUGGGGUGGAUGGCCUACCAAGGCGACGACGGGUAGCCGGCCUGAGAGGGCGACCGGCCACACUGGGACUNAGACACGGCCCAGACUCCUACGGGAGGCAGCAGUGGGGAAUAUUGCGCAAUGGGCGGAAGCCUGACGCAGCGACGCCGCGU